Molecule: long non-coding RNA, 412 nt
Organism: Hemicordylus capensis (graceful crag lizard)
Lineage: Eukaryota; Metazoa; Chordata; Lepidosauria; Squamata; Cordylidae
Exons: 3
Source: RefSeq, a predicted model, not a curated record
UCGACCGCGAGGUUUAAAGCCAGCAGAGCACGGAGAGGGCGUCUCGGGAGGAAUUUCGCUCACGGCUCGUGUGGAAAGUGGGAGCCCCAGAUCGGCGGACCUUGUCGAGGGUAAGAAAUCUGCAAAACAUUUGGCUUCUUGCACAAGCAGAACAACAGUUGGACAAACUGUGACCAACCCCCAUCCUCUCUUCAGAGUAGUAAAUUGCAAAAGAAAUGUUCACGAUCAUUCUCCAAAGCCUUGUCUCAGAAAGAAACAGCUCCCUAAAGUUGGGAGCUGUGACAUAGCAAAUAAGGAAAAUAAACUAGGCCGUGCAGGUAAUCGGCCAGCAAAAUUGCCUGUGGAUGGCCGCACAUUCUUACUGAACUCCGCCGAUUCUGGUCGCUCUCAAACAGAGAGCCCUUCAUCAAGA